GGAUGUGAGGGCGAUCUGGCUGCGACAUCUGUCACCCCAUUGAUCGCCAGGGUUGAUUCGGCUGAUCUGGCUAGCUAGGCGGGUGUCCCCUUCCUCCCUCACCGCUCCACGUGCGUCCCUCCCGAAUCUGCCCGGUUGAAGAGGACAACCUUCCCCCAUAGAGGAGGACCUUUCUUUGGUCAAGGAUAUACGAGUAGCUGCGCUCCCCUGCUAGAACCUCCAAACAAGCUCUCAAGGCACAUAAUUGUUUAUAGCAGCAUAGUUCACAAUAACCAAGUUUU
Molecule: unclassified non-coding RNA, 281 nt
Organism: Ictidomys tridecemlineatus (thirteen-lined ground squirrel)
Lineage: Eukaryota; Metazoa; Chordata; Mammalia; Rodentia; Sciuridae
Gene: 7SK
Rfam family: 7SK RNA
About the family: 7SK was discovered as an abundant small nuclear RNA in the mid-70s but a possible function has only recently been suggested.
Source: Ensembl